GCGUCCGUAGUGUAGCGGUAACACGGUAGCUUCCCAAGCUCCAGUUGUGGGUUCGACUCCCAUCGGACGCU
Molecule: transfer RNA, 71 nt
Filed under: Planctomycetia bacterium
Lineage: Bacteria; Pseudomonadati; Planctomycetota; Planctomycetia
Also listed under: 1 other name
Description: tRNA-Gly
Rfam family: tRNA
About the family: Transfer RNA (tRNA) molecules are approximately 80 nucleotides in length. Their secondary structure includes four short double-helical elements and three loops (D, anti-codon, and T loops).
Source: RNAcentral